Long non-coding RNA from Ostrinia nubilalis (European corn borer), 336 nucleotides. RefSeq lists it as uncharacterized. The transcript has 2 exons. The record is from RefSeq and is a predicted model, not a curated record. NCBI's taxonomy places the organism in Eukaryota, Metazoa, Arthropoda, Insecta, Lepidoptera, Crambidae.
CGCUGGCCGGGCUGCGUGCAGCCGACGCCGGCGCCUACACCUGCGCCGCGGGAGACGUCGCUGACGCCGUCUACCUGCACGUCGAUGCUGAAAGCCCAAUAGAGGCAAUGCAGCGCGACCAGUCAGCAUCAGAUGGCUCUUCAGAUCUCCAACGGCAUACGUUUUGGGCGGUUACGUUAGGCGUGCUACUUUUGCGGACGUUGCUCAACACUUGACCUUCGCGGAGAGCUUACGUUAUUAUGUAUAUUUUGCGUUUUUGUAAAUAUUGUAAAUAGUUAGUUAUUUAUAAUAGAGUCAGCGUGAGUGGAAAUAAAUACCGAGAUAGUGACAAGCUAA